UUGUCUCAAAGAUUAAGCCAUGCAUGUCUCAGUACAAGCCGCAUUAAGGUGAAACCGCGAAAGGCUCAUUAAAUCAGUUAUGGUUCCUUAGAUCGUACCCACGUUACUUGGAUAACUGUGGUAAUUCUAGAGCUAAUACAUGCAAACAGAGCUCCGACCGGAGACGGGAGGAGUGCUUUUAUUAGAUCAAAACCAAUCGGCGGCGGGCGCGUCCGCGCGUCCGUUCGCCGCUCUACCUGGUGACUCUGAAUAACUUUCCGCUGAUCGCACGGUCUCGCACCGGCGACGUAUCUUUCAAAUGUCUGCCUUAUCAACUGUCGAUGGUAGGUUCUGCGCCUACCAUGGUCGUAACGGGUAACGGGGAAUCAGGGUUCGAUUCCGGAGAGGGAGCCUGAGAAACGGCUACCACAUCCAAGGAAGGCAGCAGGCGCGCAAAUUACCCACUCCCGGCACGGGGAGGUAGUGACGAAAAAUAACGAUACGGGACUCAUCCGAGGCCCCGUAAUCGGAAUGAGUACA
Molecule: ribosomal RNA, 519 nt
Filed under: Megaporus wilsoni
Lineage: Eukaryota; Metazoa; Arthropoda; Insecta; Coleoptera; Dytiscidae
Description: SSU rRNA
Rfam family: Eukaryotic small subunit ribosomal RNA
Source: RNAcentral